UACGGAGGGUGCAAGCGUUAUCCGGAUUCACUGGGUUUAAAGGGUGCGUAGGUGGGUAGGUAAGUCAGUGGUGAAAUCUUCGAGCUUAACUCGGAAACUGCCAUUGAUACUAUUUAUCUUGAAUACUUUGGAGGUAAGCGGAAUAUGUCAUGUAGCGGUGAAAUGCUUAGAUAUGACAUAGAACACCAAUUGCGAAGGCAGCUUGCUACACAGUUAUUGACACUGAGGCACGAAAGCGUGGGGAUCAAACAGG
This 253-nucleotide ribosomal RNA is filed under the name uncultured bacterium. RNAcentral describes it as "partial 16S ribosomal RNA". It matches the Rfam family "Bacterial small subunit ribosomal RNA", at positions 524 to 776 of the family's 1533-position model. The record is from RNAcentral.